UAAGGAAUAUUGGGCAAUGGACGCAAGCCUGAACCAGCCAUCCCGCGUGCAGGAAGACGGCCCUAUGGGUUGUAAACUGCUUUUCCAGGGGGAGAAACUUGCGCACGUGUUGCGCAAUUGACGGUACCCUGGGAAUAAGCAUCGGCUAACUCUGUGCCAGCAGCCGCGGUAAUACGGAGGAUGCAAGCGUUAUCCGGAUUCAUUGGGUUUAAAGGGUGCGCAGGCGGAAUGAUAAGUCAGUGGUGAAAUCUCUCGGCUCAACUGAGAAACUGCCAUUGAUACUGUUGUUCUUGAGUACACUUGAAGUGGGCGGAAUGUGUCAUGUAGCGGUGAAAUGCAUAGAUAUUACACAGAACGCCGAUUGCGAAGGCAGCUUACUAAUCCAUGACUGACGCUGAGGCACGAAAGCGUGGGGAUCAAACG
This 423-nucleotide ribosomal RNA is filed under the name uncultured prokaryote. Its description in RNAcentral is "bacterial SSU rRNA". It matches the Rfam family "Bacterial small subunit ribosomal RNA", at positions 355 to 774 of the family's 1533-position model. The record is from RNAcentral.